GCAACUCGCCUGCAUGAAGUUGGAAUUGCUAGUAAUCGCGAAUCAGAAUGUCGCGGUGAAUACGUUCCCGGGCCUUGUACACACCGCCCGUCACACCAUGAGAGUCGAUAACACCCGAAGCCUGUGAGCUAACCGCAAGGAGGCAGCAGUCGAAGGUGGGGUUGAUGAUUGGGGUGAAGUCGUAACAAGGUACC
Molecule: ribosomal RNA, 194 nt
Filed under: uncultured bacterium
Lineage: Bacteria
Description: partial 16S ribosomal RNA
Rfam family: Bacterial small subunit ribosomal RNA
Source: RNAcentral